Molecule: ribosomal RNA, 466 nt
Filed under: uncultured rumen bacterium
Lineage: Bacteria
Description: bacterial SSU rRNA
Rfam family: Bacterial small subunit ribosomal RNA
Source: RNAcentral
GGGACAGGGAAUGGUCUCGUGGUGACUGUAGCUUGAGAAUAAGGGUCGGCUAAUUACGUGCCAGCAGCCGCGGUAACACGUAAGACCCUAGCGUUAUUCGGAAUUAUUGGGCGUAAAGGGCACGCAGGCGGUUUGGUAAGUCAGGAGUGAAAUACCGGAGCUUAACUCCGGUGCUGCUUUUGAUACUGCUGAACUUGAAUCAGUGAGGGGUGACCGGAAUUCCUAGUGUAGGGGUGAAAUCUGUAGAUAUUAGGAAGAACACCGGUGGCGAAGGCAGGUCACCAGCACAUGAUUGACGCUCAGGUGCGAAGGUGCGGGGAGCAAACAGGAUUAGAUACCCUGGUAGUCCGCACAGUAAACGAUGCACACUUGGUGUCCGCUCUUAAGAGUGGGUGCCGUAGCUAACGCUUUAAGUGUGCCGCCUGGGAAGUAUGCCCGCAAGGGUGAAACUCAAAGGAAUUGACGG